Molecule: non-coding RNA, 814 nt
Organism: Paramuricea clavata
Lineage: Eukaryota; Metazoa; Cnidaria; Anthozoa; Malacalcyonacea; Plexauridae
Source: the annotation of a GenBank genome assembly
AUCUUAGUUUUUGAAAUAUUUUGACUGAACAAAUAUUGGCUGUCCGCCAUCUUGGAUUAGUUUUGAUCUCAUUGACGGUGGUUUUGGUGACGUCAAAAGCAGGGUUUGGCUAUAUAUAGUAUAUGUUUAAAAUGUUGUCAGUCAAUUUCUAAUUUGAAAUAGUGACCGAAAUAUAAUUUUGGGCUAAUCAUUAUUGUGUAUAUCCGGUAACAUACAUAUCCUCAAUAAUCCAAGAUGGCGAACAGCUCACUGAUUCAUGGUGAUUUUUGUCAAAAUAUUUCGAGAACUAAACAACAUUUGAAGAAGCUGUAAAAGUUUUAAAAGUUCUUUCAAAAUUUCUAUUGCCUUACCAAAUUUUUAUUGCCAUACCUCUUGAACAACGUCGAGUUUUUACACGAGUAUAUCUUAACCAGGUAUAUUUAUCAAUUCUUACCAUAGUUUAUAAUUACACUUAACAAAAAAAAUAUUAAAACAUUUUCUACACACAAAAUUACACGUAUUUUCCACACUAUUUACAGCGUCUUAUUAUAUGGCUCAGAGCUCUGAAUAAUUGCAGUCUUUUGUCUCGCGCGUGAUGGAGCUUCGUGGUUAUAGUCUCGUGCAAAUUUAAAGCUCGUUUGACUCGUUUUCAAUGUUACUCCUACCAUUUAAACCUAGCCGACAAAUUGGACACGAGUCGUGCUGUAAAAAAAGAAAUGUAUUUUUGCAAUGUGGAACAUUAAGAUGCUCUGUAGGCAAAGAUCUACACACGUAAAAACGCACAAGUUGUUACAAGUCUGCAAACAAGUUACAAAUAUGUUCACAAGCUGUCGAC